AGAGAGGCUGAGUCACCAGCAGAUUCUGGGCCUCCGGGCCCAGGCCUUACACACCACUAUCCAUCUUCCAGAAUUACACGUAUUGGUAUACACCCUCCUACAGAAGAACGGACAAGCCGAGAGGUUCCCGUGGCAUAGGUCGUGGACGCUUUCCCAGAGGUGGGUCCCAAUCAAAGUUACCAUUGCGAUAUGUUCACUGCAGGCAGACUGUC
Molecule: non-coding RNA, 212 nt
Organism: Pelobates cultripes (western spadefoot toad)
Lineage: Eukaryota; Metazoa; Chordata; Amphibia; Anura; Pelobatidae
Source: the annotation of a GenBank genome assembly